Molecule: ribosomal RNA, 274 nt
Filed under: uncultured bacterium
Lineage: Bacteria
Description: partial 16S ribosomal RNA
Rfam family: Bacterial small subunit ribosomal RNA
Source: RNAcentral
AUACGGAGGGUGCAAGCGUUAAUCGGAAUUACUGGGCGUAAAGAGUACGUAGGUGGUUUAUUAAGUCAGAUGUGAAAGCCCCGGGCUCAACCUGGGAACUGCAUUUGAAACUGAUAAGCUAGAGUAUGGUAGAGGGGGGUAGAAUUUCUAGUGUAGCGGUGAAAUGCGUAGAUAUUAGAAGGAAUACCAGUGGCGAAGGCGGCCCCCUGGACCAAUACUGACACUGAGGUACGAAAGCGUGGGGAGCAAACGGGAUUAGAAACCCCAGUAGUCC